AGCAGGCAAAGCAGGUUUACGUUGGUUCGGACGAGCAGCCGAAGACCUAUGAGCAGCCUGCACCGUAUGCGAUGCUCGUUGCUUCCCUUAUC
Molecule: unclassified non-coding RNA, 92 nt
Filed under: fungal sp.
Lineage: Eukaryota; Fungi
Description: partial internal transcribed spacer region
Source: RNAcentral